AGAGGGUGCAAGCGUUAAUCGGAUUUACUGGGCGUAAAGCGCGCGUAGGCGGCUAAUUAAGUCAAAUGUGAAAUCCCCGAGCUUAACUUGGGAAUUGCAUUCGAUACUGGUUAGCUAGAGUGUGGGAGAGGAUGGUAGAAUUCCAGGUGUAGCGGUGAAAUGCGUAGAGAUCUGGAGGAAUACCGAUGGCGAAGGCAGCCAUCUGGCCUAACACUGACGCUGAGGUGCGAAAGCAUGGGGAGCAAACAGGAUUAGAUACCCUGGUAGUCCAUGCCGUAAACGAUGUCUACUAGCCGUUGGGGCCUUCGAGGCUUUAGUGGCGCAGCUAACGCGAUAAGUAGACCGCCUGGGGAGUACGGUCGCAAGACUAAAACUCAAAUGAAUUGACGGGGGCCCGCACAAGCGGUGGAGCAUGUGGUUUAAUUCGAUGCAACGCGAAGAACCUUACCUGGCCUUGACAUAGUAGAAACUUUCCAGAGAUGGAUUGGUGCCUUCGGGAAUCUACAUACAGGUGC
RNAcentral lists this ribosomal RNA (515 nucleotides) under bacterium symbiont of Megymenum gracilicorne. RNAcentral's name for it is "bacterial SSU rRNA". It matches the Rfam family "Bacterial small subunit ribosomal RNA", at positions 527 to 1041 of the family's 1533-position model. The record is from RNAcentral.